Molecule: ribosomal RNA, 253 nt
Filed under: uncultured bacterium
Lineage: Bacteria
Description: partial 16S ribosomal RNA
Rfam family: Bacterial small subunit ribosomal RNA
Source: RNAcentral
GACGAACCACACGAACGUUAUUCGGAAUCACUGGGCGUAAAGCGCACGUAGGCGGAUUGUUAAGUCGGGGGUGAAAUCCUGAGGCUCAACCUCAGAACUGCCUUCGAUACUGGCAAUCUCGAGUCCGGAAGAGGUUGGUGGAACAGCUAGUGUAGAGGUGAAAUUCGUAGAUAAUAGGAAGAACACCGGUGGCGAAGGCGGCCCACUGGAUCGGUACUGACGCUGAGGUGCGAAAGCGUGGGGAGCAAACAGG